UCUAUUAUGUUCAUUAUCUCGCACACGUCAAACCCAGUCUACUUCGAAAUGCGUACGUGUAUACUUUGGCUGUAUACAAUCUGAAAUUUGAAAUUUAAAGCUGUCAGAUUAGCUUCUAUUAAUAUUGCGUAAAUCGGUUAGUUCAGAGUCUUUUAUCCCAAUACUUCGUCAGAUUUGUAUACUUUCUUCAUUAAAAGUACAUGUUUAUCUUAACAUAGAAGAGGUAAGUACCGCUAAUUAACCGAAUUGCAACUUGUAAUUAUAACAGCCAAAUCAUUUCAAACCAGAAGAGUGCAAGUUUAAAAAAAAAACCGAUAGAACAACAUACAGUGCCGCAUUCAAACUACACAUACAUAGGGUUUCAUCUCGUGGUAUAUAACGAGUCAAUAGAGCAUUCUCAAUGUUAAAAAAUACGGAAUAUUGUGGUUCUUUACAAAACUCAUUACCUUCUCAAUAGUACCACUAAAAUCAGUGAUAACUGUUUCAGAGGCGUCCGUAUAUACCUUUUUUACUGUUGUAUCUUAAUUAGCCAAUUUUCUCGUAUCUUCUUUCUAU
Molecule: non-coding RNA, 555 nt
Organism: Schizosaccharomyces pombe (fission yeast)
Lineage: Eukaryota; Fungi; Ascomycota; Schizosaccharomycetes; Schizosaccharomycetales; Schizosaccharomycetaceae
Source: the annotation of a GenBank genome assembly